GACGAACGCUGGCGGCGUGCUUAACACAUGCAAGUCGAACGGAAAGGCCCUGCUUUUGUGGGGUGCUCGAGUGGCGAACGGGUGAGUAACACGUGAGUAACCUGCCCUUGACUUUGUGAUAACUUCAGGAAACUGGGGCUAAUACCGGAUAGGAGCUCCUGCUGCAUGGUGGGGGUUGGAAAGUUUCGGCGGUUGGGGAUGGACUCGCGGCUUAUCAGCUUGUUUGUGUGGUAGUGGCUUACCAAGGCUUUGACGGGUAGCCGGCCUGAGAGGGUGACCGGCCACAUUGGGACUGAGGUACGGCCCAGACUCCUACGGGAGGCAACAGGGGGGAAUAUUGCACAAUGGGCGGAAGCCUGAUGCAGCGACGCCGCGUGCGGGAUGACGGCCUUCGGGUUGUAAACCGCUUUCGACUGUGACGAAGCGUGAGUGACGGUAAUGGGUAAAGAAGCACCGGCUAACUACGUG
RNAcentral lists this ribosomal RNA (468 nucleotides) under uncultured bacterium. RNAcentral describes it as "partial 16S ribosomal RNA". It matches the Rfam family "Bacterial small subunit ribosomal RNA", at positions 28 to 507 of the family's 1533-position model. The record is from RNAcentral.